GACGAACGCUGGCGGCGUGCUUAACACAUGCAAGUCGAACGGAAAGGCCCUGCUUUUGUGGGGUGCUCGAGUGGCGAACGGGUGAGUAACACGUGAGUAACCUGCCCUUGACUUUGGGAUAACUUCAGGAAACUGGGGCUAAUACCGGAUAGGAGCUCCUGCUGCAUGGUGGGGGUUGGAAAGUUUCGGCGGUUGGGGAUGGACUCGCGGCUUAUCAGCUUGUUGGUGGGGUAGUGGCUUACCAAGGCUUUGACGGGUAGCCGGCCUGAGAGGGUGACCGGGCAAAAUUGGGAUGGGGGACCGGCCAGGCCUCCACGGGGGGGAGGGGGGGGGAAUAUUUGAAAAAGGGGGGGAGGCCGGGGGAAGAAACCCCGGGGGGGGAAGGGCGGCCUUGGGGUUGAAAACCCUUUUCCCGUGGGAGGAAGGGGGGGGACGGGAAAUGGGAAAAAAGCCCCCGCCAAAUACGGG
This 468-nucleotide ribosomal RNA is filed under the name uncultured bacterium. RNAcentral's name for it is "partial 16S ribosomal RNA". It matches the Rfam family "Bacterial small subunit ribosomal RNA", at positions 28 to 507 of the family's 1533-position model. The record is from RNAcentral.